AAAAUGAUUUUAUCUUGUCCUUACAGAAACAUUUGGAAAGGAGUUUCAGACAGAGUGGGCUUCUAGCCCUGGCUUACUAAAAAGAACAAGAGUUACCACAUAAUGUGUACAAGCGCAUGUAGAGUAACACUAUAUACUACCAAUUUUCAUAUGAAAAGUCACCGAGGAGAAUGACUGAUGGUUCUCCAACAAAGAAAAUGAAAGAAAAUAAUGACAAGGGUGUACAAUUUCAAACCAAAUAUAGGGUAAAGUCCUUUCAGAUGCAAACUGAAAUGGAUCUGACACUGUGAGCAGAUCAUUCCAAGAAUCUUUUUCCUCCCCUUAAACUGAAGAAGCCAUGUAUCAGGGGGCUGAAAG
Pezoporus flaviventris is the source of this 357-nucleotide long non-coding RNA. RefSeq lists it as uncharacterized. Lineage: Eukaryota; Metazoa; Chordata; Aves; Psittaciformes; Psittacidae. The transcript has 3 exons. The record is from RefSeq and is a predicted model, not a curated record.